Molecule: ribosomal RNA, 468 nt
Filed under: uncultured bacterium
Lineage: Bacteria
Description: partial 16S ribosomal RNA
Rfam family: Bacterial small subunit ribosomal RNA
Source: RNAcentral
GACGAACGCUGGCGGCGUGCUUAACACAUGCAAGUCGAACGGAAAGGCCCUGCUUUUGUGGGGUGCUCGAGUGGCGAACGGGUGAGUAACACGUGAGUAACCUGCCCUUGACUUUGGGAUAACUUCAGGAAACUGGGGCUAAUACCGGAUAGGAGCUCCUGCUGCAUGGUGGGGGUUGGAAAGUUUCGGCGGUUGGGGAUGGACUCGCGGCUUAUCAGCUUGUUGGUGGGGUAGUGGCUUACCAAGGCUUUGACGGGUAGCCGGCCUGAGAGGGUGACCGGCCACAUUGGAACUGAGAUACGGCCCAGACUCCUACGGGAGGCAGCAGUGGGGAAUAUUGCACGAUGGGCGGAAGCCUGAUGCAGCAACGCCGCGUGCGGGAUGACGGCCUUCGGGUUGUAAACCGCUUUCGCCUGUGACGAAGCGUGAGUGACGGUAAUGGGUAAAGAAGCACCGGCUAACUACGUG